Long non-coding RNA from Dipodomys spectabilis (banner-tailed kangaroo rat), 109 nucleotides. RefSeq lists it as uncharacterized. The record is from RefSeq and is a predicted model, not a curated record. Lineage: Eukaryota; Metazoa; Chordata; Mammalia; Rodentia; Heteromyidae. The transcript is spliced from 3 exons.
UAAGUGUUAGUCUAGCUGGGUGUCUGUGGUGCACACCUGUGGUCCUAGCUACUCAGGAGGCUGAGAUCUGAGGAUCAUGGUUCAAAGCUAGCCAGGGUAGAAAAGUCUG